Molecule: long non-coding RNA, 500 nt
Filed under: Canis lupus familiaris (dog)
Lineage: Eukaryota; Metazoa; Chordata; Mammalia; Carnivora; Canidae
Description: lncRNA (ENSCAFG00030005233.1)
Source: RNAcentral
AUGGUGGUGCUGGUGGUCCAGAAGUUUUUGGCUUCUCUAACCACAGCUGACUGCUGCUAAGUUUAAAGAAAAACCAGAAGUAAUAUAGUACCCAAGUUAAGAGCUAGACUGGAUUGGAAUACUCCUUUAUGAACAAUGAGCUGUAUGGCCUUGGCUUCUUCAAGAGUGACAGGACAUUUGACAACUGGGGCUGUUGCAAUGGUCAUAUGAAUGAAGCAUCAGGUGCGCUGGUACCUCACACAAUAUGCAGAAGCAGAACCACCAAGCAAGUCCUGAGACAACAUCAUGAACAUUCUUGGAAGGCCCAUAUGCUUGCCUGUAGAUCUAUGCAUAAAUGCGUAUACAUCGGGAUCCCUGCGUGGCGCAGCGGUUUGGCGCCUGCCUUUGGCUCAGGGCACGAUCCUGGAGACCCGGAAUCGAAUCCCACGUCAGGCUCCCGGUGCAUGGAGCCUGCUUCUCCUUCUGCCUAUGUCUCUGCCUCUCUCUCUCUCUCUGUGUGA